GCCAGUUUGGUGAUCUACAUUUUGUCAGACUUAACAGAAUUGAAUGCAGCUGAAAUCAGGUGGGAGUAUCACUCGAGAGAACACCACAGUUCAUGCUGCUGGACUUUCAGAUGUUCGUAAACUAAGUGGUUACGGAUCUUCUAAAACUAGACGGAUCCUUCCGCAUCAUACGGAGACCUGCAGUUCUUCGGUGCAGCCUCUGCAGGAGCCCUGAUUUCCCCACCUUCUGCCUCC
RNAcentral lists this long non-coding RNA (234 nucleotides) under Fukomys damarensis (Damara mole-rat). Its description in RNAcentral is "lncRNA (ENSFDAG00000033411.1)". Lineage: Eukaryota; Metazoa; Chordata; Mammalia; Rodentia; Bathyergidae. The record is from RNAcentral.